AUGCUCCACGCGCCGGUGCGGACCCUCCGCCUUCGCGCUCCUCCUGGCGCGGCUGCUGGCCGCAGGCUUGAGCUCCUCCUCGUCGCCUCCCCAGCACCGUGCUGCUUCGUUCUUCGCCGCACCUCUAGCAGGCACGUCCACGCGGCUCCGCCUGCGGCCAGUUUGUCGCCCACCUCCCGCUCGCUCCUCUGCCCACGGCCGCGUGCCCGCGCUGGCCGAGUCGCCCACAUCACCGCGCUCCUCUCCACAUCCAGUGGGUGGGCCGGCCUCCUCCAGCCGCUCCUCCUCGCCCGAGCUGCUGCCGCCAUUGGGCCCAGCCUCCCGCGGCCAUUGAGCUCCGCCAGCACCGUCCCGCGCCGCUGCUGGUCCUCUACCGGGUUCGCGCGCAUCGGCCACUGCUGGGUCCGGCUCCGCCCGUCUUUGCGACCGGGCGGCUUCGGUCAGACUCCCGCGCCGGCUGCUGUCGCAUCUCGGCCCGGCCGCCUCCGGCUCCGCCUACGCCGCCUGCUCGGCCACGCCCGCACCGGCCUACUCCAGUCACGGAUCCACCUGUCGGGUCUCCGGCUGUUCGCGGGCUUGGCCGACUCCCCCGCCUUCACGCUGCUCCGCCACGGUUCGGCCGCAUCGCCCCGCCUGUUCUGCGCCGACUUUGGGCUUCUCCGAGCCCAUCUGGGUUGCCAGCUGCCGGCCGCGCCAGCUCCGGCUCCUGCCGCCUGCCGUCUCCGCCGUGGCCUGGACGGUCGGCCUGGCUGGCUGUCGGCCCUUUCGCGUCUCGCGCGCGGCUCCGUCCGUGCCCGGCCGCCUCCCGACGCGCCUGCCGAAUGCCCCGCACGCCCCAUGGCCGGCUCGCCGCUUGUCGGCCGCCUGCUGGCCCCGCCUCCCCCGCUCCGGCUGCCCGCUUUGGCCGGCUGCUCCACGCGAAGGCUAAGAAAGAAAGAAAAAGAAAGGAGUCCGACUGAAAAGUCAAAGAGCCGACUGCUGGCAAAAAAAAGUGUGCGUGAAUCCGCUUGCCCAGAUCCGGCUGGCCGGGUGCCUACAGCCGACGGGUAG
This 1050-nucleotide ribosomal RNA is filed under the name Triticum aestivum (bread wheat). Its description in RNAcentral is "partial small subunit ribosomal RNA". The record is from RNAcentral. Lineage: Eukaryota; Viridiplantae; Streptophyta; Magnoliopsida; Poales; Poaceae.